UUUCUUCUGGGCUUGGUUCAGGGAGGAGGCCAAAAGAGGAAUUUACCAGGGAAGCGAUUGAAAGACAAAAGUCCACUCUAAAGUGAAGUCUGCCUGUGAGAGGCGAACACAAGAGAUUCUCCUGAGAGUCACAGACUGGCUGGUCUGGUGUAUGCAACAGAGAAAGGGAGACCCUGUUUGAAAAAGGCUGAAGGUUUGCCGAGUUGAAUGCCAAAGAGUCUUCGAAGGACAAUUUCCAUUCAGGGAGAUCCGGUUACCCAGCUCCUAGAAAAGUAAGAAGACAUUCCUUAGGGCAGCAAUCCACACACUCUCGGCGCUAAAACAGUGGACACUGUGGAGACACAGGAUUUGUGAGUCUUUAGAAGGACUAACUUUACCCAUCCAUGCAGGAGCCCAUGGAUAAUUUUAGAUAGACAGGCAACUGAAGAAAGUCCCCCAAUGUCACUUACAAUGGGGUGAUGCACCAGGUACAAAAAAGAGCAUAAGACCAGCUAUGCAUAGAAAUCCUGGUGGAUAGUAUACUAAGAAGGAUUAUUUAAAAAGGAACAAAGGUAUAUUUUUAAGUCAGUUCUGACCUCUAAGGUAGGAGUUCAAACUAAGCCAAAUUUCAUGAACAUGUCAUCAUUGAAACCAUGAUGGCUGAACU
Molecule: long non-coding RNA, 646 nt
Filed under: Mus pahari (shrew mouse)
Lineage: Eukaryota; Metazoa; Chordata; Mammalia; Rodentia; Muridae
Description: lncRNA (MGP_PahariEiJ_G0006033.1)
Source: RNAcentral